UACAGAGGUCUCGAGCGUUGUUCGGAUUCAUUGGGCGUAAAGGGUGCGUAGGCGGCGGGGCAAGUCUGAUGUGAAAUCUCCAAGCCUAACUUGGAAACUGCAUUGGAUACUAUCCGGCUCGAGGAAUGGAGGGGAGACUGGAAUACUUGGUGUAGCAGUGAAAUGCGUAGAUAUCAAGUGGAACACCAGUGGCGAAGGCGAGUCUCUGGACAUUUCCUGACGCUGAGGCACGAAAGCCAGGGGAGCAAACGGG
This 253-nucleotide ribosomal RNA is filed under the name uncultured bacterium. RNAcentral's name for it is "partial 16S ribosomal RNA". It matches the Rfam family "Bacterial small subunit ribosomal RNA", at positions 524 to 776 of the family's 1533-position model. The record is from RNAcentral.